CAAGUACAGAAGAAAUAAAAGGUGUUCAUUGGGCUUCAUGGACAUGUGUUUCAGGCCUUGAAGUAAAUGGAAUUUGGCCCAAGUAUUCAGAUAUCAACGAUAUAAAUUCAGUAGAUGGAAAUUAUAUUGGCCAAGUUUUAGUUACAGCUGAUGACUAUGGAAUUAUAAAAUUAUUCCGAUAUCCAUGUUUAAGAAAAGGGGCCAAGUUUAGAAAAUAUAUUGGCCAUUCAGCUCACGUAACUAAUGUCAGAUGGUCACAUGAUUAUCAGUGGGUUAUUUCUAUUGGUGGAGCAGAUCACUCUGUCUUUCAGUGGAAAUUUAUUCCUGAAAGAAAACUGAAAGAUGCUGUUCACAUAGCACCCCAAGACAUUUAAAUUUGAUGUAGCGGUCAUUGGGGAGCCAGUGAAGGGAUUUAAAGGAGCUAUUGAGUUUGCAGUGAG
This 440-nucleotide long non-coding RNA is filed under the name Homo sapiens (human). RNAcentral's name for it is "HSALNT0214482". The record is from RNAcentral. Lineage: Eukaryota; Metazoa; Chordata; Mammalia; Primates; Hominidae.